This 75-nucleotide transfer RNA is filed under the name Ipomoea nil (Japanese morning glory). It matches the Rfam family "tRNA". Rfam says of the family: Transfer RNA (tRNA) molecules are approximately 80 nucleotides in length. The record is from Rfam by way of RNAcentral. Lineage: Eukaryota; Viridiplantae; Streptophyta; Magnoliopsida; Solanales; Convolvulaceae.
UCUGUUGUAGUCUAGUUGGUUAGGAUACUCGGCUCUCACGCUCGAGAGACCCGGGUUCAAUUCUCGGCAACGGAA